RNAcentral lists this ribosomal RNA (275 nucleotides) under uncultured bacterium. RNAcentral describes it as "partial 16S ribosomal RNA". It matches the Rfam family "Bacterial small subunit ribosomal RNA", at positions 338 to 629 of the family's 1533-position model. The record is from RNAcentral.
CCUACGGGAGGCUGCAGUGGGGAAUUUUCCGCAAUGGGCGAAAGCCUGACGGAGCAACGCCGCGUGAGGGAGGAAGGCCUUUGGGUUGUAAACCUCUUUUGAUGGGGAAGAAGUUUGACGGUACCCAUCGAAUAAGCAUCGGCUAACUCCGUGCCAGCAGCCGCGGUAAUACGGAGGAUGCAAGCGUUAUCCGGAAUUAUUGGGCGUAAAGCGUCCGCAGGUGGUAUUUCAAGUCUGCUGUCAAAGCAUGGAGCUUAACUCCAUAAAGGCGGUGG